Molecule: ribosomal RNA, 233 nt
Filed under: uncultured anaerobic ammonium-oxidizing bacterium
Lineage: Bacteria
Description: partial 16S ribosomal RNA
Rfam family: Bacterial small subunit ribosomal RNA
Source: RNAcentral
GGAGUUAUGAAAUGCAGGCAGGUUAAUACCCUGUUUGUUUGACAAAGGCCCCAAGGGAAGCUACGGCUAACUCUGUGCCAGCAGCCGCGGUAAUACAGAGGUGACGAGCGUUGUUCGGUAUUAUUGGGCGUAAAGAGCACGUAGGUGGUUUUGUAAGUCAGAUGUGAAAGCCUUCUGUUCAAAGGAAGAACGGCAUCUGAAACUGCUGAUCUUGAGUGUAGGAGGGGAGAGUG